UAUACACAGGAGUGGUUCGGGUGGGAAAGGUUUUUAUUCCUGGAUUGCCAGCUCCCUCUCUGACGAUGUCCAACACAAUGCCUCGGCCCAGUACUCCACUAGAUGGCGUUAGUACUCCAAAGCCUCUUAGUAAACUCCUUGGAUCAUUGGACGAGGUAAGAAAAGGACCAGGUGUUGCCAAAAAGUUACCAUUUUUUAAAGAAGUUUGGUUAAACAUUAGUUCUUUCCAUGGUUAACUUAAUUUUAGUUUCUACUUGCAGAAUAAAUGUUUUCAAACAGAAGUGAUUCAGUUAACAUACACUGACCUCCCUUGUGAUGUAUGUGAUACUUUUUGAAGGUGCUGGAGAGAUGGAAAUGAUACAUUCUUUUCCAUCUAGGGAUCUCACAAUUGUGUGGAGUUGAUGUACUGUCUGCAUAAGAAAUUAGAAUUUAAGAAAGACUCAUGACUCAGUAAUGUGGAAAAGAGAGUACCAUCGUUGAUUGACUGAUGGGAAGAUACCAUCCAAUGGGAGGCCAUGGCAAAAUCAAAGCCUCAUCUCUGAGAGACAUGUCCGUCUUCGUUUGGACCUUGGGGUUGAGUAGGAUAUCUGUUGGUAGAAAGGAGCAUUCAGGGCAAGGAGAAACCACACAGGCACAGGCAGGAAGGCCAGAUAAUGCGGAACAUUUUUUAAUGGAUAUUUGUAUCUUCAUCUCCUAGUCAUAAGGACUCAAUAAAUCUGUAGAAUAAAUACUUAUAAAAGUACAAGUAGUCUGUAGGGUGAGGCAGGAUAGGGUUUGGAUAACAAUAAUAACCUUUUUUGAGCAUUUUCUAUGUGCUAGGCAUUGUUCUCAGUGCUUUAUUAGUAUUAAUUAUUUCCUUAGAACAGCUUUAUUGAGAAGAUAGUACUAUGAUUCUUUUUUUUACAAAUGAGAUAGAGGUUACAAAUGAAAUAAACCUACUAAGUGGUAGAACUGGGAUUUACACUCUUACCAAUGUGCUCUUAAAGGGAGAAAGGAUGAAAAGGUGGUUUUCUUCUGAAUGCAAUUGACAGGGCAUUACAGGAUUUUGAGAAAGGAGUUAUGAGGUUUUGGAUCUGUGUUGUAAAUAGGUGUAUUUUGGGAUUAAAGAUAAGGAGACCAGUUAGCCUCCAAGUGAGGUUGUCUGUGUCAGUUUAAGAAGUAUGAGAGGGUCUGAGCUAGGGCAGUAUAUGUGUGGAAAGGAGGGAUUAAUAUGAGAGGCCUUGAGAGGUGGAAAUGAGUUUGUCAGCUGAUUGGUUUUGUGCUGCUGGGCUGGGGAAAGGUGAUGUGGAACGAGGCUCCGAAUUCUCUGAACGACCUGGGAAGGUACCUGGAUUUACCAAGUUAGGAAGCCUGGAGAAAAGUGGUUUGUAUUUAAAGGACAUGUGAGUGUGGAUGUUUAGGGACGGUUCAAAGGGAAGGUUAGUGCUAUCAGUUGUAUUUGAUAAUGUCUAUGUCUUCAUUAUAUUUUUAAACAUGUGCCACAUUGAAUUUUUUUUCCUUCAAACCAGCACAUUUGCAGAACAUUGAAAGGGGGAACUGGAGAAGUGUCAGAGUGUUUUGUGUGAUUUGGAAGAAUUUCUUUUAUAAUGGAAAAUGGUUUCCAACUUUUUUAGAAUUCUAUAAGCCUGGUAAUAGUGCCUUUUUGAUAGGUGUAAGGUCAUGGAAAUGAUAGUCUAACACAUUGGCUGAUGGCUUUUCCACUUCUCUGGAAGAUUUUGC
Molecule: long non-coding RNA, 1719 nt
Filed under: Pan troglodytes (chimpanzee)
Lineage: Eukaryota; Metazoa; Chordata; Mammalia; Primates; Hominidae
Description: long non-coding RNA NONPTRT010713
Source: RNAcentral